AAUGUCCUGUAGUUCAGAAGGGUAGUUUACACGGCAAAAAAUGACUUUCUUACUCAGUAUUUUUAUCUUGUUUUCUAGUAUGAAUAUCUAAACAGUCUUAAAUCAAGAUACGUUUACUUGGGAAGCAAAAUAACUUGAGAUAUUAGCUCAUGUUUUCUAAGAAAAUUAUGAAAAUUAAGUGAAUUUUCUAUUUACUGCAAAAAGUCAACAUUUGAAGUGGAUCAAAAACUUUCAUCAAAGUUUUCCAAAAACCUAAAACCAAAACGCGUUCUUGUCUUAGGACAACUUUAAUGUAAAUUUUUUGAUCCACUUCAAAUGUUGAUUAUUGUAUUUGCAAUUGUGGUCAGAAAACUAAACUUUAUUCAAAUUAGUUUUAUUUUUAUGAUACCUUGCAGAUAUUUUUUUUUCUUUUUUAACUGCAGAGCAUCCAUUGCUGAGACACUGAUGCAAUGCUACGUUUCUACAAAUCUGAUGAAGAAACAAACUCAUCUACAUGUCGUAUGACCUGAGGGUGACUACAUUUAAAUGCUCAUUUUUGGGUGAACUAUUCCUUUAAAGCAUGAUACAAGCUGAGUCAUGAGGAAUCUGAACCCCUUGAACAUGCACAGCAAAACACUGACAUUAAAAUAGAGCUCAGCUCGUGCAUAUAAUCAAAGGCAUGCACUGCUCCAUCCAACAAUCUGCCGUGUGCCUUCAGGAGCAGCUCAUCGACCGUCCAAAACCGCAGACCUGAUCUAAACAACAAAUUUUCAUUAGCAGAGUCACAACAAAUCUGGCCGUGGAUCCAGUCCCAGCGUAUACGAGCCGCUCCAUUCUGUUAUCGUGAACCGCCCAAAACACUCUGAGCUGAAACAGCUGUGAAGAAUUGAGAUUUCCACACUGGGCUGGAGAAACAGAUGCAAGUUCUGCUGCAGGUACAGUAGAGGUUCUGGCCAGCGGAAACAAUCGUGUGUUUGUGCCCUUGAACCUGUUUUAAAGGAUCACGCUUAUCAGUUCAGUUAUGAGCGGAUUACCGUAUGCAAUAUGAGAGCCUUCACUGUUCAGCAGCUACUUGUGUGUGUCAACCGGAGAUUUAGGACAACGUUGUUAUUAUACUGACUGAAGAAUCUGACCAAAGUAAAAUGCUACAAAUAUCUAAACAUUCAUCUUCUGCAAAAUGAGAUUUUUAUUAAACUCUGUUUCUCCUGGACUGCACAAUUAAUUCGGAUUCAUUAUGCUUUCAAAAGGUCAUGCAAACAGAAAAAUGAAAACACUUUAACUGUGCCAAAUCAUUUCUAGUUAGAUGGUAAAAAAUUAUUUUUCAAAGCUGUAAAUAAGAUUACUGGGGUAUGUUUUUCAAGAAAAUACUAUUUUAUUCUUUUUACUUCAAAAUGUCAUAUAUAUAUAUAUAUAUCUCCUCAUACAUAAUGUGUUACUUGCCAUUUCUUUGUCUUUUUAUUUAUUUAUUUAUUUAUUAACUUACUUAUUGUAAGAUUUACUAGUAAUUUCUAAGUGAAAAUGUUUCAAAGUAAAUCACUACACUGUAAAAAAAAAUUGAAUACAUUUUACAACAAAAUAUUUCAGUCAUUUUACUUAAAAAUCUUACAUGCAAUUCAAUGAGUUACUUGCUGUUUGAAUAUUAUAUAUUUUUGAAGUUAUAAAUAAAAUAAAGAUUAUUGUCUAGCAUAAAAAAAAUUAUAUUUCAGGUUUUCUAAAAUUUCACAUUUAAUUCAUUGUGUUACUUGCCGUUUGUUUGUAAUUAUAUGUGAAAUUUACCAGCAAUUUCUGAGUGAAAAUUGUUUCAACACGGGAGGAAAAAUUCCAAGUUGUAAAUAAAACAAAUAUAACUGGAGUAGGUUUCACAAGAAAAAUACUAUUUCAGUCUUUCUGCUUUGACAUUUCAUGUUUAAUCCAAUGGGUUACUUGCAAUUAUUAUUAUUAUUUUUUUUAAAUGUAACCAUUUGUGAGUGAAAAUUAUUUAAACAAUAAAUAAAGAUUAGAGUAUGUUUUACAAGAAAAUACUAUUUCAGUCUUUCUAAUUGACAAUUUCAGGUUUAAUCGAAUGUGUUUUGCUGUUUCUUUGUAAUUAUUUGUGAAAUUUAGUAAUUUGUGCUCAUAUGAACACAUGCAAAAUGUAUCUGUUGUUUUGAUAAUGAGCUUUCAUUCUCACCAGAGCAACCAUGCAUUAGUUCUUAAAUCUGAAAGUGCUGAAAGUGAAAGUUCAAAAGAGGCUUUUCUUGAAAACUCCCGUCGAACCGCGAGAUUGCCGUCUCUGUCUUUCUCUAUAAAGUCACACUAGAGCACAGCGCUGAUAGUGAGAAGGUCGACGACGAGUAAGAACGCAGCAUCAGUGCCAGCGAGGGCUGAUAACAGCCGAGACGGAAGACGGGCCUCCUCAUCCAUCACAGAGAGAGCGUUUGACCUCCUGAUCAUUAAAAACUUCAGCGCACAAAUGUGAACGGGAAGCAGAAGACACACAAGAAG
This is a long non-coding RNA of Cyprinus carpio carpio, 2463 nucleotides long. The record is from Ensembl. Lineage: Eukaryota; Metazoa; Chordata; Actinopteri; Cypriniformes; Cyprinidae.